GUGUAGUUUUCUAGUUUUCUGCUUUAUUCUGUAUUUUAAAGUGAAUUGAAUGCAUUAUUCUUUAUGUAAUCUUAAAUCUGUGCAUUUGUGUUCAUUUUUCGAACAAUAAUCUGUCCCUGCUAACCGGUAUGCGAGUUCGAGAAGCCGUAAGUCCCAAUGCUGCAAAGUAUGUCUUGGGCCUCUAUGGGAGCAUGCGUGCCACUGUUUCAUUAACGGUGGAAAAAUGAAGGUCGUUACGGACCUACCAGUAGCUACGCCUGAAGUUGCCAUAGUUACCAUUAGUACACCAUCAUCACGCGAGGACGAAGAUUGCAAGGAUAGCUUCGUAACCUACGGAAAGUUGACAGUGACCUGCAGCGAACUAUGGCGUGUUGAGUCUGACCUCUACUCAAGCCGAACGCAACUGUGUUCUACCCAACGGGAGUAAUGUUGCAUCACUUGUAAAUACAUAGAUAAUGAGAAGCCGUGCGAUAUCAUUAACAACGACACAAACGAGGUUGUUUAACUCGAGGAUUCUGGGGCAGUACUCUCAAAUAGCCAGACCGGAAGUGACGUCAGCAAAUCGGAUGAAGAGAACGAGGUUUUUAAACUCGAGGAUUCUAAGACAGUAAUAGCCAAUAUACAGACCGGAAGUGACGUCAGCCAAUUGGAUGGUGCUAAUACUUUUCCAGAAUCGCCAGACGAUGUCGUCCAACGAAUGAUUGGUGAUUUCAUGCGACAACAAGGCGAAGAGAGCAUACAUCUGCUUUCAUUGUUCAAACAAUCAUUAUCGAACCUAGUUUCAAAGUCCAUGCAGAUCCCGAAAUAAAAUACGCCCAGAUAUUGUAUUGAUUAAAAUAAUUAAAAAGCUUCGCAAUGUGUAUAAGCUCAACACAAAAACUUGAAGAGGACUGCUAAUUGCCAACAAUAAACGAUUGUGCACGCUUAUUUCUACUUAGUCAUGAAAAGCUUGAAUACCAAACAACCACUGUAUGUUCGCAAUGAAAGUUUAAACAGACUUUCGUAGGUUAUAUGUGUCGUGUUCUGAUAAAACUGGGCAUAAUGCAUGUGCGUAAAGUGUCAUCCCAUAUUAGCCUGUGUAGUCCGCACAGGCUAAUCCGGGAUGACACUUUCCGCUCAACUGGAUUUUCGCUUAAAAGAGACAUCAUUUAAACGAACAAUUACAUAAAAGCAAACAUUAUCGUCCCUGAUUAGCCUGUGCGGACUGCACAGGCUAAUCUGGGAUGACAAUUUACGCACAAGCAAUUUGCCCAGUUUCCUCAGAACACGACUCAUAUGUCCCAUGUGCAUUACACUAAGUCGGCUUAUUUGUUAUAUAGUUCAUCCCAUAAGCACACUGUGUAAGGUUUACUUGAACUCUAUUGGGCAUAAAAUAUGACUAAGUCCCAGGGUGGGCACGAAAAACCCGCCCGCGGGAAAACCCGUCAGGAAAACCCGGAUUUUCCCGCCCCGGGCAAUACUCUGAAAGUGGGCAAUACUGGGCAAUACUGGUCAAUACUAUAUUUUCUUCAUUAAACAUGCAGUUGUUAUUGUUUUUUAUCAUCCUUACUUCUCUGCUAGCCUCUAUUGUAAAGAAAAAAGAGUGAAUGCCGAGUCUAUUUCUGAGCUUUGUCUGUAUAGUUCCAAAAUCAAAGCAUGUUUUCACAGUUUAUGGCAGGGCCCUUAUUGGCACUUAACUGUGUAUCUUUUAUGGCCCCAAAUAAACAGCGGCCUUUGUCUGGCCCUAAUAGGACCCUUAUCUGGCACAAAUAGGUCCAAUGUUUAUCUAAGUGGCCCAGUGUUAUUGUUAGUUGUACAAACUGUGUGAGUGUCAUAAAUGAUGACACAAAACUGUGUUAAUUAGUUCAAACACUCAAUUGGGGCAUGGGUCUUUACGCAAUAUGAGAUCAACUAAAUUAUUUGCAUGAUAACAAAAUAUAUAUUACAUGUAUAAUCCAUAAUUUCUGUACCCAUUACCAUUUUCCUUCAUAGAUACCAUUCUGUUACAUAUCAUAUCAUAUUUGUAGAAAAAUAAUGUGAGUUAAUAAAAUGUAAAUCAGAUAAAACACAGAUACCAAGUUAUACCCAGUAUUGUCC
Dreissena polymorpha is the source of this 2076-nucleotide long non-coding RNA. RefSeq lists it as uncharacterized. The record is from RefSeq and is a predicted model, not a curated record. NCBI's taxonomy places the organism in Eukaryota, Metazoa, Mollusca, Bivalvia, Myida, Dreissenidae. The transcript is spliced from 4 exons.